GACGAACGCUGGCGGCGUGCUUAACACAUGCAAGUCGAACGGAAAGGCCUCUUUCGGGGGGUACUCGAGUGGCGAACGGGUGAGUAACACGUGAGUAACCUGCCCUUGACUUUGGGAUAACUUCAGGAAACUGGGGCUAAUACCGGCUAGGAGCUCCUGCUGCAUGGUGGGGGUUGGAAAGUUUCGGCGGUUGGGGAUGGACUCGCGGCUUAUCAGCUUGUUGGUGGGGUAGUGGCUUACCAAGGCUUUGACGGGUAGCCGGCCUGAGAGGGUGACCGGCCACAUUGGGACUGAGAUACGGCCCAGACUCCUACGGGAGGCAGCAGUGGGGAAUAUUGCACAAUGGGUGGAAGCCUGAUGCAGCAACGCCGUGUGCGGGAUGACGGCCUUCGGGUUGUAAACCGCUUUCGCUCAUGACGAAGCUUUGUGUGACGGUAGUGGGGAAAGAAGCACCGGCUAACUACGU
This 466-nucleotide ribosomal RNA is filed under the name uncultured bacterium. RNAcentral describes it as "partial 16S ribosomal RNA". It matches the Rfam family "Bacterial small subunit ribosomal RNA", at positions 28 to 506 of the family's 1533-position model. The record is from RNAcentral.